AUGGGCGGCGUGGUUCCUAGCGGCGAGGCUGGCGGCGUGCUGGCCGCGCUCCUCGGCGACGAGGGGUACCCCGCCGGCCGCUUAAUCAUGAUGCUGCGCGUGACUUUCAUCGGCGCAUCCUCGCCGCCGGCCGUCGUGUUUGCGGAGGCGGCCGAGACCGGUGUCCGGUUGGGGCCCCGCGACGGUGUCGUCCCACAGCUUGUCGAGGAGGCCCAUUACCAGACUGCCACUGAGAUGGAUGGACCGAUCCCAACAGCCAACUACCAGUCUCCCCAAGUUUCCGGAUCUGAGAGAAGGGGAAGAGUGCAAGUGAGACGAGCAGGAGCUUAUUUAUAG
RNAcentral lists this ribosomal RNA (336 nucleotides) under Triticum aestivum (bread wheat). RNAcentral's name for it is "partial small subunit ribosomal RNA". Lineage: Eukaryota; Viridiplantae; Streptophyta; Magnoliopsida; Poales; Poaceae. The record is from RNAcentral.